This is a long non-coding RNA of Diachasma alloeum, 351 nucleotides long. RefSeq lists it as uncharacterized. The transcript is spliced from 3 exons. The record is from RefSeq and is a predicted model, not a curated record. Lineage: Eukaryota; Metazoa; Arthropoda; Insecta; Hymenoptera; Braconidae.
GGAAAAUAUCGCCAGAGGAGGGAUUACGCGCCUCGUGGAAGAGAUGGCGGCGGCGCUCCCAUCAUUUAUCAAUAUUACCGAUCUUUUCACAAGGACAUACUGGUGGCUGGUUCAACGUUGAAAAAUUAUUCCUACGAUGAUUCAAAAAAGGACGAGGAUCAGCUAAAACAGUGAGAGGCGCCAUCUUGAUUUUGCAAUGGCCAUGUCUUAUAAAAAAAUAUGUGUGCUCAAAAUCAGGCGUCAGAAUAAUUGAUGCUCCAUCGGCAAGAGUAAACAUAACCUUAUGGUUACUUAAUAUCCCUGCAGGAAAUGUCGGGUCACACAAACGGAUUCAAAAUAAUGUGCUCCACA